RNAcentral lists this ribosomal RNA (262 nucleotides) under uncultured bacterium. Its description in RNAcentral is "partial 16S ribosomal RNA". It matches the Rfam family "Bacterial small subunit ribosomal RNA", at positions 515 to 776 of the family's 1533-position model. The record is from RNAcentral.
CCGCGGUAAUACGUAGGUGGCAAGCGUUAUCCGGAAUUAUUGGGUUUAAAGGGUCCGUAGGCGGCUUUAUAAGUCAGUGGUGAAAGCCCAUCGCUUAACGAUGGAACGGCCAUUGAUACUGUAGAGCUUGAAUUACUUGGAAGUAACUAGAAUAUGUAGUGUAGCGGUGAAAUGCUUAGAUAUUACAUGGAAUACCAAUUGCGAAGGCAGGUUUCUACAAGUGGAUUGACGCUGAUGGACGAAAGCGUGGGGAGCGAACAGG